RNAcentral lists this ribosomal RNA (257 nucleotides) under Escherichia coli. Its description in RNAcentral is "partial 23S ribosomal RNA". It matches the Rfam family "Bacterial large subunit ribosomal RNA", at positions 2674 to 2925 of the family's 2925-position model. Lineage: Bacteria; Pseudomonadati; Pseudomonadota; Gammaproteobacteria; Enterobacterales; Enterobacteriaceae. The record is from RNAcentral. RNAcentral also lists the same sequence under 1 other name.
GCUCCUAGUACGAGAGGACCGGAGUGGACGCAUCACUGGUGUUCGGGUUGUCAUGCCAAUGGCACUGCCCGGUAGCUAAAUGCGGAAGAGAUAAGUGCUGAAAGCAUCUAAGCACGAAACUUGCCCCGAGAUGAGUUCUCCCUGACUCCUUGAGAGUCCUGAAGGAACGUUGAAGACGACGACGUUGAUAGGCCGGGUGUGUAAGCGCAGCGAUGCGUUGAGCUAACCGGUACUAAUGAACCGUGAGGCUUAACCUU